CCAUAGUGAGUGGCAUUGACGAGUCUUGAACACUUAGAAAACAAGUGUGGCAUCAAUGACAAAGAACAAGAACAAGUAGUGUACAUGACACUAGUAGAGGUUAGGGAAUGCAAGUAAAUUGGGUUAGUGACAUUAUGACGUAUACACCUUAGAGUUAAGGGUCAUAUGAACAUGGUUCUCCUUGAAGUCAAGGAAUGGAUUGAACUUGGAAUCCUUAAUGUUAAGGAUUGAUUGUACUCACCUAAUAGUCCUUGCUCGAGGGCGGUAGCUCCCCCUCGGGCGAUGUGCUCUGGAGUUGUCAUCACUGGGUCGUAGCGGUUAUCUCCCCAGAGGGCGGUCCCGUCGGGUCGUAGCGGUUAUCUCCCCGAUAAUAAGGAUUUGGGUUGGUGAGUUUGUGAGGGCGAAACCUACGGGCUAGCCAAGCGAUUGGGUAAUGAAAAGUUAAUUUUGCAUUCAUCAUGAGCAUUCUAUCGAGCAUAGUUUUACUUAUCGUUCAGGCAUAUUAGCUGCAUCUGUUAGUUGGUUAUUAUCUAUUCUUUCUUCUAUUAUGCCUGAUUAGACCUAGUGGGAUAGUCGGCGUGGUUGGUUGCCGAAUUCACUGGGAACUUUGUUGUAGUUCUCACCCCACUAUUUCCACAGAGCCGGGACCGAGCGAGCCAGCAGACGAUCGCGGUAAGGGCAUCGCGCCCUAGGCAGAGACCGCCCGAGAUGUUUUAUUUUCAUAGUUGCAUAUCCCUUAUUAUCAUCUUUUGUAUUUUGAUGAUGUUAGUAUUGUGAUCAUGUUAAAUGAAUGAUGUAGAAGACUUUAUUUAUGUUAAAUGGAAAAGGAUCAUAUUUUGGAGAACUUGUGAUGUAUAAAAGAAAUGAUGCAAAGUUGUAUUAAAGUUGAAUGCAUGUAUGUUAUUUAAAUUUAAUCAAAUACUUGUAUAAUGUUUAGUAGAUUCUUUCACUAUUGGCUGUUGCUUGCCCUCGUGCAAGCCAUUAUGUAUGCUUCCGUUUUGUGCAAAAUUCAUACUCUAUUUGUACAAGAUGUUGAGCCUUGGGCGGACAGGGGAGACUCUGUUCGUUCGGCGUCUGUUUAACGCGCUCGAACCGGCCAAAUAGGAUUGGAUUCGGGGCAUGACAGAUAUAAUGGUAUCAGAGAGUAAAAGAGCCAAAAAGUGAAAGUAUAGGAUGGACCUAGAGACCUUUAGGAUUGGAAAGGCCUUAAGGAUCUAGGAAACGUGAGUGACGUGGAAUAAAUUAUAGCGAAAGCGUUGAUUGGGUUGUUGCUAAUAAGUCUCUAAUGUGGUUAGAGGCUAACUUAAAGUUGUUAUUUGUUUUCUAUUCCAUGUGUUGUGAUCGGCGGCCGACGACAUGAUGCUGGGAAAUGAAAAUAAAUACACUUAUUGCUUUCGCUGGAUUGGGUAAGUUCGAGUAUAUUGGUUAGGGAACUAACGUAAAUUGCUUCGUUGCAGGAAGCAAUGGCACCUCGACCUCGUGGACGACCGCGAACAAGGUCGAUGCCUGAGGAACCGAGAGCGGCUCCUAUGCAACCCGGAGAAGGUGGCGACGGGGAGCUUCAGGAGCAGAUGGCCGCGCUUAUUGGCGUAGUGCGGCAGCAAGCGGAGUCCGUUCAGCGCCAAGGGGAGCAAAUCUAAAGGCUCCAGGAGGCGUUGGAGCGGCAGCAGACGACGGCGGCUCAAGCAGGGGCCGAACACCCUGCGCCCCCUGUUGUGGUGUCGACAGUGGUCGAGGGAGCAACGACGGCGGCGCCAGUCGCGGCCGUACCAGUCAUGGCGAUACCGACCAGUUCGGGAACCUCAAACCCCGACAGUGUGGCUGAUGGAGUGGAGCGGGAGCACGCGUUGGCAGCUCUCAUUCAGUUUCAGAAGUUCAACCCACCUACCUUCGAAGGGGGGGUGGUGGAACCGGCGGUGGAGUCCUGGAUCGACUCCAUGGAGAUGCUGUUCGAGGAUCUAAACACCUUGGAGAGGGACAAGGUGUACUUAGCCACACAUUGCCUCGGGAAGGCGGUAAUGGUGUGGUGGAAGCAAGUGAGGCGGGAUCGGUCUCCCGAUCUUCUGCUUAUGAUGUGGGAGGAGUUCUAGAGGGCGGUGUUCGCCAACUACUUCCCCGACACGGUGAAGCGGAAGCUACAAGAAAAGUUUCGCAAGUUGAGGCAAGGAGACCGUUCUGUGGCGGACUACGAGCAGAAAUUCUCCCACAUCAUCGACUGCGUCCCAGAGAUUGUUCGUGACGAUCGGGACCGGGCCGAUCGGUUCUUGCGAGGACUUAGGCCGAGGAUCUACAAGGCGGUGCAAGUUCUCAAGCUUAUGACCUUUGCGGAGGUCUUUGAACGGGCUCUAUGGGCGAAGCACGGCAGUGCCUACGCACGGGAGGAGCGCGAGGCUAUGGCGGAGUCGCGAGACAAGGGAAAGAAGCGGGCGGCGGGUGGCAUCGGGGGCCGGCCGAAUGCAAAGAAACCCCCUCGAUAUCCCCAACAGCAGUUGAGGAGUGGCAGGCCGUUCCAUUGUGCCAUUUGCGGCUGUGAUCAUCGACCGCCGGCAUGCCCGCAGCGCGAGGGAAAGUGCUUCAAGUGCGGCCAACCAGGGCACAUGUCACGGGAGUGCCCGAGUUGGGGUUCAUCGGCACCGACAGCGGCGUCAGUUCCGUCUACCCUGAGACAGCUUGUGGGGUUACCACCGGCUAUGUCUGCUGGAUGCUCUUCUGCAUCGCGCCAGCCGGAGGCAUCGAGGGCACCGAGUGGGCGGGUUUUUGCCACUCAGGUGGAGGAGCCGAUUCCAGUCCCCGACGACGUCGUGGCAGGUGUUAUCUUGAUUAAAGACACUAGAGCUAGAGCAUUGUUCGACACUGGUGCAUCACGUUCAUUUAUAAGUGCAUCAUUCUCUAGGACUCAGACAUAGAGAUUACUCAUGUUGAGGACGGUUGGACAGUGAGUACCUCGGAGCAUUCGUUUCGAGUUUAUGAUGAGUGUUUGGAUUGUCCGGUAUAGAUAGGUGAUUGGAUCAUGCCGAUCGACCUACUAGUGCUAAAUGAGACGUGGGGCUUCGAUGUAAUCUUGGGGAUCAACUGGCUCUCCAAGUAUUACGCGGUAAUCGAUGGCGAAAGAAAGGUGAUCACUUUUCGUGAACCUAAUCAAGAAGAGUUGGUUUACCGGGCGUGCAAUGGCGCGCGCUUUACGACGACCAUAUCGACGGUGAGGGCGAAGAAAAUGAUAAAGAGUGGUUGUAAGGUCUAUUUGGCGACCAUCGUAGACCCUCAGAAAGAGCACCCGGAUUUGGGGAGUAUUCGAGUUGUAUGUGAGUAUCCGGAUGUGUUUCCGGCGGAGUUACCGGGAUUGCCACCGGACCGGGAAGUCGAUUUCGUCAUUGAUUUGAUUCCCGGGGCGGCGCCAAUCUCGAAGGCUCUAUAUAGAAUGGCACCGGCGGAGCUAAAGGAGUUAAACGCACAGUUGCAAGACUUGCUCGACAAGGGCUUUGUGAGACCGAGCGUGUCACCUUGGGGAGCUCCGGUGCUAUUCGUUAAAAAAAAAGAUGGCACACUUUGACUCUACGUGGAUUACCGCAAGUUGAACAAGGUCACAGUGAAGAAUAAGUACCCAUUACCUAGGAUUGACGACCUAUUCGAUCAACUGCAAGGGUCGAGGAUAUAUUCAAAGAUAGAUCUACAGUCGGGGUAUCAUCAAUUGAAGAUACGACCCAAGGAUGUGCACAAGACGGCGUACCGUACGCGGUAUGGCCAUUAUGAGUUCACGGUUAUGCCAUUCGGGCUUACAAAUGCCCCGGCGGCCUCUAUGGACUUAAUGAAUCAGUCUUCCGUCCGCUAUUGGACCGGUGCGUCGUGGUCUUCAUUGACGAUGUAAUGGUGUAUUCUCGGACCAAGGAAGAACACGAGGAGUACUUGAGGACCGUAUUGGAAAUACUCCGAAAAGAGAAGCUUAUUGCCAAGUUGAAGAAAUGCGACUUUUGGCUAUCGAAGGUUACUUUCCUUGGUCACGUGAUCUCGGGUGAUGGUAUCUCGGUGGACCCGAAGAAAGUUGAGGCGAUUAAAGAUUGGCCUCGCCCGACGAGUGUAUCGGAAGUCCGCAGUUUUCUUGGGCUAGCGGACUACUAUCGACGGUUCGUGGAGGAGUUCGCUAAAAUAACCACUCCACUAACGCGCCUUACACACAAGGGAGUGAAGUAUGUUUGGAGCGACGAUUGUGAUUGGAGCUUCAAGGAGUUGAAGGAAAGGUUGAUGUCGACCCCGGUGCUUGCUCUACCGACGCCGGGGGAGACCUUUGUGGUUUAUAGUGAUGCUUCCUACGUAGGACUCGGGUGUGUCUUGAUGCAAAACGGGCGGGUUAUAGCUUAUGCUUCACGCCAAUUGAAGACUUAUGAGAAGAACUUCCCGGUUCACGAUCUGGAGUUAGCGGCGGUUAUUUUCGCGCUAAAAUUAUGGAGGCAUUACCUAUAUGGGGAACAUUGUGAGAUCUACACAGAUCACAAGAGCCUUAAAUAGUUGUUCACCCAGAAGAAAUUAAGUAUGCGACAAUGGCGAUGGUUAGAGUUGUUGAAAGAUUAUGACGUCACUAUACUUUACCUCCCGGAAAAAGCCAAUGUUGUGGCCGAUGCACUUAGUAGAAAAUCGAAAAAAAACUUGGCUUCGGCAAUUACACCCCAACCGUUGUUACAAAAGGAGAUGCAACGGCUUGGAUUGGAAGUAGUAGCGCCGGGAGUGCCGGCUACACUUGCCGUGUUGGUGGUACAACCGACCUUGUUGGAGAGGAUCAAUGUAAGGAAGUGAGUUCUCGAAACUCGAGGAUUAGACUUCGACUAGAAUCGACUAUCCGUCGAGUGCGUAGGCUUCGGAAAGUCCGAAGGUGUUUAUAAUGCAUAAAGUGCAUUAAAGAAGGGUCCGCGGGAGCACCAGUGCAAAAUCUGCACUGGAGCAGAAUUUCUCUCGGGGACCGGUCCCUGGCAGGGAGGGACCGGUUCCAUCAGGCUGGGCUGCGGGGGUCUCUGAUGAGACCGGUCCCUGGUGGUGAGGGACCGGUUCCCGAACGUUGGCCCAGCGAAAAUAGCCGAAAUUUGGCUAAGUCCCGAAAACUCAGCUUUCGGGAACCGGUCUCUCGGACAAGGACCGGUCUCCCGGGGACCGGUCUCUCAAGCAAGAACCGGUUUCCGAACGCGAAAUCCCCUCUGCUCGAAGUGGCAGCCUUCGGGGACCGGUCUCCCCGAGCUGGGACCGGUCCCUCACUGCGAAAAUGCCCAGAGAGGGCUGGUUCUAAAGAUGAAAAGUUGAGGGGGCUAAUUGCAAAAUAGCCCAUAUGAAGGCUUGGGGACCCCUCUUCCCUUUUCAUUUGCUCUCUCUCCAUCUCACACUCCUUCUCUCUCUCUCUAGAAAGAGAAGAAGGAGAAGAAGAAGGAGAAGAAAGAAAGGAAGGAAAAGAAGAAGAAGUGGAAGGAGAAGUCCAAGAAGAAGAAGAAGAAGGUCUUCUUCCCUCUCUCCUUCAAGCUAGGGCAAGCUUGGAGCUUGGCUUAGAGGUAAGCUCCAAACCCACUCAUGGUAGAUUUCUUAGGAUUGGGUUUUAUUGCUUAGAAUUGGUUCAAAUGGAACCUAGAGGAGAUGAAUAGGUGGUUCGGGCUCGCAAUCGAAGCUCGCACCACGGAUUUCUCCCUCGUUGCCAUUCUAGGGCACGGAUUUGGGAUUUUGGUAAAUCUAGGGUUUUGAUCUAUUUUAAUAGGUCGUAAACCAAAUUGCUAGGUCUCGGAACGCGUCGGCGAAGACGGUUUGCCGAUCCGACGAGCGGGUGCGGAGUUAUCGCCGAAUCGGGUACUCGAGGGCUCGCUUUGCCCCGAGGAGUUAAAGCGGCGUGCAAAGACCGCAACGUCGAGUUUUCUACCAUCGCGGCAUCGCCAAGAGGUGGGUGGUGUCCAUCCCGAAGCAAUCGGGCUCCCUUCUAUGUCUUAGUACAUGUCGAUUCUUGCAUCUUGUAUUAUUGCAUUAUAGGAUGAUUGUGCAUUGCCUUUCCUUAUGCCUUCCUUGAUGAUAUCGUAGCAUGUAUUAGAUAUUUGGUAUAGUGGAUCGAUAAGGAUUGGGUCGAGAUUUGUGAAUCCUAUAGUGCAAAGAAGGUGAUGGGCUCGAUGAUUGGUCUAAUGUUAAACAAAGAACGAGUGGCAUCUAGUCGAUAGUAAACAAAGAACGAGUGGCAUCUAGUCGAUAGUAAACAAAGAACGAGUGGCAUUUAGUUGAUAAUAAGCAAAAGAACAAACGACACAUAUGAGUCGUAGUGUAGGUGAAACCUAUGGACUAUAUGAUGAUUGUAACCCUAGAGGAUAGGGUAUUCUCGAGACGAGGAUUGGAUCAUGCUCACGGUCUGUUUCUAAAUCUUGUGAUGGAAGCCCCACACAAGUAGUGCGCUCCGGAUGUUGGUCACGUGGGAUCGCCUAUUUUGGGUCCCAAGGGUUUGCCUAUUCAGGCCCCGGCAGACGGUCUCGGUUCGUAGUGCGAGUUGACCCUCCCUACCUUCGAGAUGGCUAGUGAGCAGUAGGCUCCUUCAGGGAAGCCGCGAGAUUAAUAAACAAGUAAAUGGCAUUGAUGAACAGGUACAUAGCUUUACCCUUGACAUGACGACAGGUUAGUUGCUUACCGUUCUAUUGAACAUGCAUUCAUGUAUCUAUGAUUGGGCAUAGUAGUGUAGCUUCACUUUCCUGUCUUUACAGCUCUACUUAUCUAUCUAUCUAUCUAUCUAUCUAUCUAUCGAUUAUCUACUCGUGCCCGCUUGGACCUAGUGGGGAGAUCGGCAGAGUCGGCGACCGAACCCACUGGGAACUAAGGAAGUUAGUUCUCACCCCCAUUUUUACCACAGGUUUGAGUUCGGGUGUCCCCGGUGAGCGCAAGGAUCGCGGUAAGGGCCCGGCGCUCUAGUCGCAUUAGCUACCUCCCUUUUUGCAUUAGCCGUCACCCUUUUGUAUUUGAGAGUAGAUGUUGUAUAGGGUGAGGUUGAGUGAUGGUAUUUAUAUUUUGGGAAAAAAGUAAAAGAUGUAAUCAAAUGUAUUAAGUUAAAUGAAUGUAAUAGAUAGUCUCUCCUCUCUUUAUGUACCUGUAUAUGUUUCUAUACUUGUAUUCUUGCUCUCGUCUUGUUGCACUGGUGGUGCUUCUUGAUCGUGUAUCUAUGAAUUAAUUCCUGGGUAAAUUCUUAUACAUGAUCUGUUGGUUAGCCUUGGACGGACAUGGGAGGUCCUGUCCGUUCGGCGUCUGUUCGACGUGCCCAGGGCCGGACCAAAUUGGUAGCGGUCUCGGGGCGUGACAAUCAAGGAGUUGCAAGCUUCCGACGAGUAUCUCCAAAAGAUGCGCGGUGAAGUUGAGAGCGGUAGUGCCGAUGACUUUGGCAUUGGGACCGAUGGCACACUUCGAUUUCGAAAUCGUUGGUGUGUACCUAAGAACAAGGACAUCCGCAAAGCAAUUAUGUAAGAGGCGCAUCAAUCCCCUUAUAGUAUCCACCCGGACGACACCAAGAUGUAUCAAGAUUUGAAGUUGCACUAUUGGUGGCCGGGCAUGAAGAAAGACAUUGGGGAGUUUGUUGCGCAAUGCCUUACUUGCCAACAAGUAAAAGCGGAGCGGCGUUUUUCGGCGAAAAAAUUACAAAGCUUACCUAUACCCGUUUGGAAAUAGGAGAAUAUCGCUAUGGACUUUGUGACCGGAUUGCCACGAUCUCAAGGUGGGCACGAUGCAAUUUGGGUUAUAGUGGACCGGUUGACGAAGUCGGCGCAUUUCCUACCGAUUCAUAUUACAUGGUCGGGGGACAAGUUGGCUCAAGUAUAUAUCGACAAAGUUGUGAGACUUUAUGGGGUGCCCGUGUCUAUCGUGUCGGAUCGGGACCCGAGGUUCACAUCUCACUUUUGGAGGAGCCUACAUGAGGCUUUGGGCACAUGGCUCGACUUUAGCGCGGCAUUUCAUCCUCAAAGUGAUGGUCAAUCGGAAAGGACGAUACAAAUACUUGAGGAUAUGCUUCGGGCGUGUGUUCUUGAUUAUAAGGGCAAUUGGCAUGAUCAUCUACUGAUGGCGGAAUUUGCGUAUAAUAACAGUUAUCAAGAAACUAUCGCGAUGGCGCCAUUCGAGGCCCUAUAUCGAAGGAAGUGUCGCUCUCCAAUUCAUUGGAGCGAGGUGGGCGAGAGAGUGGCUCUUGGCCCCGAUGUAGUGCGGGAGGCGGAGGAGAAAGUUCGCCUCGCCUGCCAACGACUUGCUAUGGCGCAAUCACGGCAAAAGAGCUAUGCCGACAAACGGAGGAAAGGUGUCGCCAAUGCGAGGAGUUAAACGGUUUGGAGUCCGGGGAAAACUAAGUCCCCGAUACCUUGGACCGUUCGAGAUACUGGAACGGGUCGGCGCGGUGGCAUACAGGAUAGCAUUACCACCGAGACUUGCAGGAGUGCACGAUGUGUUUCACGUGUCGAAUCUCCGCAAGUAUGUGCACGAUCCCGAGCAUAUUCUCUCAUUCGAACCGUCCGAGAUCCAAGAGGAUAUUGCUUACGAGGAGUUCCCGGCGUACAUCAUCGAUCGAGAAGUAAGAAAACUGCGGAACCGUGAGAUUCCGUAUGUUAAAGUCCGUUGGAGCAACCACGACGAUCGGGAAGCCACUUGGGAGCUCGAGAGCACGAUGCGGGAACAUUCUCCCCAUCUCUUCGAGAAUCUGGAUUGAGGUAUGAAUCUAGAUUUCAAUUAAGUAGUUUCGCGGACGAAACUAAUUUUAAGGGUGGAGAAUGUAACGUAUCGAAACCUCGAUAGCGAUUAUCGAACUUUAAUCAAAUUGGUUAAAGUGUCGAGAGCUAUGGUUAGGCGAGUCCUAUUUAGCAUUCCAACAAUAUUGGAAGGGCUAAAAAUGGGUUCCAAAAGAGUUAGAAUGGUUUUGGUGUCGAGCGGCGCGAGUUAGAGUCGAAUCGAGCCAAAAAUCGAAGUCUGGAGCAAGUGUACCGGUAUAGGGGCGUAUCUGUACCGGUACAGAUACGCAGAUCGCAAGCAGUAGCUCUCGGGUUUGGAAAUUGCCCAGAAUGUACCGGUACAAAUAAGUGUACCGGUACACUUGUCGAUAACCCGAGCAAAAAUUAUUCUCGGGUUUGGGGGCUGUUCGUGAUCGUGUUACCGGUGACACCAAAGUGUACCGGUAUACUUUGUACCCGACAGCAGCCCGAGGUCUGCUGCAAAAUAUAAAGAUUGGGAGGGCUCUUUGGCAAAUGUUACAACAUGUUAAUAACCCAAUACCCCUUCCCUUCACAGCCAACAACCAAACACCUCUCUCUCCCUCAUUUCUCUCAUUUUCUCUCUCUAGAAAGCUCUCCAAGAGGUGGAGUUAGAGGAGAUUGGAAGGAGAAAGCUUGGGAUUUGGAGGACUAAGAGGCUAGGGUUCUCUCCUACAAGAUGGACUUUGGAGAGCUUUGGGCCAAGGUGAGGUUUUGUGUAAGAUUAGGCUUAGGGCUUGAGUUUUGAUGCCCUAAACCUUUGGGUUUUGACCUUUUAGCUAGAUUAGAAACCUCUAAUAGCUAUAGAACACAUGGAAACAAGAUGUUACCACGUGUUCUCAUGGUAGAAACCCUAGUGUUGGGUUUUGUGCCCUAGAAUGGAGUUGAGAGGUAUAGAAAACAAUUAAAAUGAGUUUCUAAACUUAGAACAAGCUCUCUUUUGCUUGUACAAGAGAUCAAAACCUAGGGUUUAGCAAAGAGCUUGGUGAGGGUACCAAAUUUGGGAAUUUUGUCUCCGAUCGUUUCUAAGGCAAAUUGACUUUAUAGAAACCUAAUUGGGGGCAUUUCCGACGCAAUAGUGCGCUCGGUUCGUCGAAACGAAGAGUCUACGAGAAGUUAUCGAAUAAAAAGCCUAAUUUGGCUUCGUUAUGGUACAGAUCGCCGCAGCCCGCGAAAUAGAGCUACAAAAAUUCUGGGAAAUUCACCGUAGCAUCCCCACAACUGUUAGAGGUGGGUGGUGCAUUCCAAGGACCUCGGAAAUCCUUUUAUGUCUAAAGUGUCAUAUUUGAGCAUGUACAUAUACAUUGAGCAUAUCGCAUAGUAGGGUUACUCAUGAGUUUUUAUUGCAUUUUGUUGGUUCAAAUGCAUGUGGAAUGUCGUAUGAUAAUUGAAAAUUUAUAAACCCUAUGUAUGCAUGUUGAAGAACAAGAACCUAGUGGACUUGUAACGUUGGACAUGACCAUAGUGAGUGGCAUUGACAAGUCUUGAACACAUAGAAAAUAAGUGUGGCAUCAAUGACAAAGAACAAGAACAAGUACUGUACAUGACGCUAGUAGAGGUUAGAGAAUGCAAGUAAAUUGGGUUAGUGACAUUAUGACAUAUACACCUUAGAGUUAAGGGUCAUAUGAAUAUGGUUCUCCAUGAAGUCAAGGAAUGGAUUGAACUUGGAAUCCUUAAAGUUAAGGAUUGAUCGUACUCACCUAAUAGUUCUUGCUCGAGGGCGGUAGCUCCCCCUCGGGCGAUGUGCUCCGGAGUUGUCAUUACUGGGUCGUAGUGGUUAUCUCCCCAGAGGGCGGUCCCGUCGGGUCGUAGCGGUUAUCUCUCCGACAAUAGGGAUUUGAGUUGGUGAGUUUGUGAGGGCGAAACCUACGGGCUAGCCAUGAGAUUGGGUAAUGAAAAGUUAAUCUUGCAUUCAUCAUGAGCAUUCUAUCGAGCAUAGUUUUACUUAUCGUUCAGGCAUAUUAGCUGCAUCUGUUAGUUGGUUAUUAUCUAUUCUUUCUUCUAUUAUGCCUGAUUAGACCUAGUGGGAUAGUUGGCGUGAUUGGUUGCCGAACUCACUAGGAACUUUGUUGUAGUUCUCACCCCACUAUUUCCACAGAGCCGGGACCGAGCGAGCCGGCAGAC
RNAcentral lists this long non-coding RNA (10844 nucleotides) under Ananas comosus (pineapple). Its description in RNAcentral is "long non-coding RNA (ACOM_LNC012151)". Lineage: Eukaryota; Viridiplantae; Streptophyta; Magnoliopsida; Poales; Bromeliaceae. The record is from RNAcentral.